AUCGGCUCUGUGCUGGUAAGUGUCAGUUACAAGCGUUUUCGAGUGUUUAGUGAUUUUGUUUCUUGUUUUUUGGCAAUUCCCACUUGAAUUGAAUUAUUUAUAUAUUUGUUUGUGUUGUUUACUGUUAAGUGUACGUUGUAAUUCAACAGUGAAAAUCUGCCACUUUAAUACCGUAUAAAUAUUUAACACUUGUACUCUCAUGACACCAAUAUUCUUAGCAGAGCAUUUACCCUAAACAUAAAAUCAUAGACUCACUCUGACAUUGGCAAAUCCUCACGGAAGCCAUUAUACAAGAAGAAGAAGAAGAACGAUCAUAU
RNAcentral lists this unclassified non-coding RNA (317 nucleotides) under Melitaea cinxia (Glanville fritillary). RNAcentral's name for it is "misc RNA ENSMCXG00005012312.1". Lineage: Eukaryota; Metazoa; Arthropoda; Insecta; Lepidoptera; Nymphalidae. The record is from RNAcentral.